UACUCGAGUGGCGAACGGGUGAGUAACACGUGGGUGAUCUGCCCUGCACUGCGGGAUAAGCUUGGGAAACUGGGUCUAAUACCGGAUAGGAACCAUCUUUAGUGUGGUGGUUGGAAAGUUUUUUCGGUGUAGGAUGAGCUCGCGGCCUAUCAGCUUGUUGGUGGGGUAAUGGCCUACCAAGGCGGCGACGGGUAGCCGGACUGAGAGGUUGGUCGGCCACAUUGGGACUGAGAUACGGCCCAG
Molecule: ribosomal RNA, 243 nt
Filed under: uncultured Actinomycetales bacterium
Lineage: Bacteria; Bacillati; Actinomycetota; Actinomycetes; Actinomycetales
Description: partial 16S ribosomal RNA
Rfam family: Bacterial small subunit ribosomal RNA
Source: RNAcentral